This 470-nucleotide long non-coding RNA is filed under the name Lonchura striata (white-rumped munia). RNAcentral's name for it is "domestica (Bengalese finch) lncRNA (ENSLSDG00000014256.1)". The record is from RNAcentral. Lineage: Eukaryota; Metazoa; Chordata; Aves; Passeriformes; Estrildidae.
UCUGCGGCGAGCGAGGACACAGCCAGCCGGCUGCCCGUUCCCGGUACCUGCCGCAUCCCCGCUCGUCCCCUGCCCCUGGCCGUGCCCCCGCCCGGAGCGCCCCGCAGCCUCCUGUAGCUGGGGCGGGCAGGGGACCGCCCUCGCCCGUCGGAGAGGAGAGGGGCAGAGCAGCCCAAGGCAACCCCCAAGCCCGGUGUCACGGUCUGGGUCCCCCGAGGGGGGAGAAAGCACAUCGUGGAAACCUGUGAGCAGGACACCACUGCUAUUUAUCUGCUGGUAAUAUUCAGUUUGGUUAGUGUGAACCCCAGAUGAAGAUAACAUGGAAAACCACCAAACUGGAAAUGUGCUGUCCUGUAUGCCUUCUCACAGCUGAAUCUGGAUUGUCUUCUGAAUGGAACAUCAUCAGACCAGAAGCCAUCUUUACAUUUGUGGUUUUUUUCAUUCUGGCAAAAGAACUGGAUGGAGAAUAA